This 301-nucleotide ribosomal RNA is filed under the name uncultured bacterium. Its description in RNAcentral is "partial 16S ribosomal RNA". It matches the Rfam family "Bacterial small subunit ribosomal RNA", at positions 509 to 807 of the family's 1533-position model. The record is from RNAcentral.
CAGUCGCCGCGGUAAUACGUAGGGUGCAAGCGUUAAUCAGAAUUACUGGGCGUAAAGCGUGCGCAGGCGGUUUGUUAAGACAGAUGUGAAAUCCCCGGGCUCAACCUGGGAACUGCAUUUGUGACUGGCAAGCUAGAGUGUGGCAGAGGGGGGUGGAAUUCCGCGUGUAGCAGUGAAAUGCGUAGAUAUGCGGAGGAACACCGAUGGCGAAGGCAGCCCCCUGGGCCAACACUGACGCUCAUGCACGAAAGCGUGGGGAGCAAACAGGAUUAGAUACCCCAGUAGUCCCUGUCUCUUAUAC